UGCAAGUCGAGCGGAGUGAUGGUGCUUGCACUAUCACUUAGCGGCGGACGGGUGAGUAAUGCUUAGGAAUCUGCCUAUUAGUGGGGGACAACAUUUCGAAAGGAAUGCUAAUACCGCAUACGUCCUACGGGAGAAAGCAGGGGAUCUUCGGACCUUGCGCUAAUAGAUGAGCCUAAGUCGGAUUAGCUAGUUGGUGGGGUAAAGGCCUACCAAGGCGACGAUCUGUAGCGGGUCUGAGAGGAUGAUCCGCCACACUGGGACUGAGACACGGCCCAGACUCCUACGGGAGGCAGCAGUGGGGAAUAUUGGACAAUGGGCGCAAGCCUGAUCCAGCCAUGCCGCGUGUGUGAAGAAGGCCUUAUGGUUGUAAAGCACUUUAAGCGAGGAGGAGGCUACUGAAGUUAAUACCUUCAGAUAGUGGACGUUACUCGCAGAAUAAGCACCGGCUAACUCUGUGCCAGCAGCCGCGGUAAUACAGAGGGUGCAAGCGUUAAUCGGAUUUACUGGGCGUAAAGCGCGCGUAGGCGGCUAAUUAAGUCAAAUGUGAAAUCCCCGAGCUUAACUUGGGAAUUGCAUUCGAUACUGGUUAGCUAGAGUGUGGGAGAGGAUGGUAGAAUUCCAGGUGUAGCGGUGAAAUGCGUAGAGAUCUGGAGGAAUACCGAUGGCGAAGGCAGCCAUCUGGCCUAACACUGACGCUGAGGUGCGAAAGCAUGGGGAGCAAACAGGAUUAGAUACCCUGGUAGUCCAUGCCGUAAACGAUGUCUACUAGCCGUUGGGGCCUUUGAGGCUUUAGUGGCGCAGCUAACGCGAUAAGUAGACCGCCUGGGGAGUACGGUCGCAAGACUAAAACUCAAAUGAAUUGACGGGGGCCCGCACAAGCGGUGGAGCAUGUGGUUUAAUUCGAUGCAACGCGAAGAACCUUACCUGGCCUUGACAUAGUAAGAACUUUCCAGAGAUGGAUUGGUGCCUUCGGGAACUUACAUACAGGUGCUGCAUGGCUGUCGUCAGCUCGUGUCCUGAGAUGUUGGGGUUAAGUCCCGCCAACGAGCGCAA
Molecule: ribosomal RNA, 1053 nt
Filed under: Acinetobacter calcoaceticus
Lineage: Bacteria; Pseudomonadati; Pseudomonadota; Gammaproteobacteria; Moraxellales; Moraxellaceae
Description: bacterial SSU rRNA
Rfam family: Bacterial small subunit ribosomal RNA
Source: RNAcentral